Long non-coding RNA from Cryptomeria japonica (Japanese cedar), 540 nucleotides. RefSeq lists it as uncharacterized. The record is from RefSeq and is a predicted model, not a curated record. Lineage: Eukaryota; Viridiplantae; Streptophyta; Pinopsida; Cupressales; Cupressaceae. The transcript has 2 exons.
CAUUUUAUGUAGAAAUAAAUUGAUACUAAUAAUAACCCUAAAAUGAAGAAUACGUUUUGAGGGAAGAAGAGCAGAGCAGCAAGCAUGGAAUUAUACAGCAUUACGGGGCAAGCUUUUGUUUUGGUUCGUUUUAUUUUUUAACAAAUAGGUCGGGCAAGGAGUGAAUCUCCACAGAAGUGCUGCUCCUCUCUGUGGAUCAUAGCAUACCAGUGGCGAUGCCCUUCUCAUUUUAGGGUUUUGAAAUUAACUUUUUUUCUUUUCUUUUUAAUAUAGAGAAGCUUCUUUAUCCUUUAUAGAAAUUUUGAAUAGAUUUUGUAGUCACAACUGUCCUGGUAUGUAAAAUGUGGAAGGAUUCGAAGGAUUACAGGAUAUGCACAAAAUGGAUCUGGAUAUACAUAUAUAAUUUUAAAUUAUAAAUUAUUUGUUAAUUUUAGUAUUCUUAGACCAGAUUUUUUUUUCAGAAAGAAUGGAAUAUGGAGGAUCUAGGGUGUAUAUACAGAUGUAUAUGUAUGGUAUAUCCAAAAUUUAUCCAGAGGAAUA